This is a non-coding RNA of Aedes albopictus (Asian tiger mosquito), 118 nucleotides long. NCBI's taxonomy places the organism in Eukaryota, Metazoa, Arthropoda, Insecta, Diptera, Culicidae. The record is from Rfam.
UGCCCAGCAACUCCUAUCCCUACCUCCUCGCGGUAUCGGCCGGAAACUAUGAGCAACCUUAGGGAAGAUUGGGUAACCAACCCCGGUGGGAACUUUGGUCGUAGGCUGACAGGAAAGG